This 65-nucleotide small nucleolar RNA is filed under the name Bombyx mori (domestic silkworm). Its description in RNAcentral is "Bm_12". The record is from RNAcentral. Lineage: Eukaryota; Metazoa; Arthropoda; Insecta; Lepidoptera; Bombycidae.
AUUCAAUGAUGUUUGAUCAUGUAUUAGCUACUGAAUCUUUUGAUUGAAAAUUUUUUACUGAGUUU